Molecule: non-coding RNA, 104 nt
Filed under: Candidatus Brocadia
Lineage: Bacteria; Pseudomonadati; Planctomycetota; Candidatus Brocadiia; Candidatus Brocadiales; Candidatus Brocadiaceae
Also listed under: 1 other name
Description: c-di-GMP sequence
Rfam family: c-di-GMP-I-GGC riboswitch aptamer
Source: RNAcentral
AUCGAUAAAGGCAAACCCUGAGUGAUCAGGGGGCGCAAAGUGAAGGAUCUUUGAAGUAGUGGCAUGCUCAUAAAGUAUGCUGAAAGAUAGCCUUACUGCCGAAA